AAAUGGAAGAAAGUCAGUGGCAUUUUUUAAAAGAAUUCAUUUGAAAUUCAAAUUUUUAAAAAGUCACUUAUACUCGGCCCAAAACCAUACCCAUUUUACCCCCAAACCAUAACCCCUUUCUACCACAAAUUUCCCUCAUUUUGAUCUUAGAAAUGGAAGAUCUGUGGCGCCGAUUUCAUUCCAUCUUCAGCUCUCAUAUAUGAAACGCCUUCGAAGAUCAUGGAAUCAAUGUUGUCGAAAUACUCGAUCUUCCAUUUCUGAGAGAGCCGACUGCUUUUUGUUGAUUCGUAGCCACUUCCACACAUCAUCUCCAAUCGAAUCUGGAAAAAAAUUCAGGUAUAUAUUUAUAUAUAUUAUGUGAAAAUCAACUAGAUUGAGUGACGAAGAUUGCAUAUGUAUACAUACUAACUAUAAUUCAGUCACAAAUACUGCAGCUUUGAGGAUGAAAUUGUAGGAGAUUUUGGUGUAGCCUGUAGCUAUGGUUUCAAAAUUUUAUUUUCGUUUUCGUUUUAAAUCCGUGGUCUGAAGAGAAUCUGCACCCAAUUAUAGAUUUGUUCAUGUUAUUGCAAUUCCUUUUUGGUUCAAUAAUCUUUUAUCAAUUGUGCAAUUGACGUGUUUCUCAAAAAUUCGUUGGUUAUGGAUAAGUUUUUAAAGUGCAUUUGUGAAACUUGGAAAAUAGCGGUGUGUGGAAAUUCAUAUUGUUCUUGUUGCUUCUGUUGUUAUACUUCCUCAUUUUUGCUUCACUUUUGGUAUCUUUUGGAUAUUGCAUUAUGCAAAUUCAGUAAGGCAUAUAAGGGAUGGUGGUUAGCUGUCUCGAUUGAUAAUAAAAUCUGUGUUUUUCCUGGUUUCCAGUAUCUUCUGAGUUGUGCUAUUUCUAGUAUUUAAAAACCUUAGAACCCAGGGAUGAUUUUUCAAGAUUUCAAUGCACAGGAGAAGGGAGUGCCUCGCAAUGAUUUGUCUUGCAUUUUCUAAACACGAUGCUGGUUAACUGAUGAACAAGACAUGGAGAUUGCUACGAACAUGACUAUACGCAAACGAGGAGAGCAUGUCACCAAAUGGGAGAAGAAUGGGCUGAAGCGUUUUCAUUUGAGUGGAAUUGUAAUUUCAAUUAUGUAAAUAUAUGGAUUUGUCACUGAUCUCGGGUAUUGUGGCUGCUAGGAUCUUAGAUUUUUUAUUCAAUGAUCUGAAUUUCUUACGAUCGUGUUUGCAUUUUGCUUAUUUAUUUGGGAUGUUUGUUUCUUUGUUUUGUAAAACAUAUCCAAUUAUGACAUGUCUCUUAAGGAGUAUCGGAAAGUUCUCGACAUAAUUGAAGAGAAACAAGUUAAACAAUUUUGUUCAUUACUAUGUGUUCCUAUCCAAAUUGUGCUUGAGGCUUAUAGCAACCUCCAGUUAGAGAUCUAUGGAUUAUGUCCAAUCAUUUUGCUCAAAUUGCCAAACAAAAGGACAUCGUCAAUGUGACCAUCCGCAAGGGAAAAGGAGAUAUGGAAAAGAAUGGGAAACAAAAGGGAAGAGAUUCGUGAAUGUGUUCUACCCACGUACUUGAUGAGAAGAAUUAGUUUUAAUUUCAUGUUCGUGUAAUAAGAACUAGACUCCAAGAAUAUUUGAUGUUUUGUGUGUUUUUGAUGUUGACAUUGUAAUCGUUGAUGGAUUUAAUGUAAUGAAUUUGUGUUGUUGAAAUGUGAAUUGGUACCCAG
RNAcentral lists this long non-coding RNA (1694 nucleotides) under Olea europaea subsp. europaea. The record is from RNAcentral. Lineage: Eukaryota; Viridiplantae; Streptophyta; Magnoliopsida; Lamiales; Oleaceae.